Molecule: ribosomal RNA, 253 nt
Filed under: uncultured bacterium
Lineage: Bacteria
Description: partial 16S ribosomal RNA
Rfam family: Bacterial small subunit ribosomal RNA
Source: RNAcentral
UACGUAGGGUGCGAGCGUUGUCCGGAAUUAUUGGGCGUAAAGAGCUCGUAGGCGGUCUGUCGCGUCUGCCGUGAAAACCCGAGGCUUAACCUCGGGCUGGCGGUGGAUACGGGCAGACUAGAGGUAGGUAGGGGAGAAUGGAAUUCCCGGUGUAGCGGUGAAAUGCGCAGAUAUCGGGAGGAACACCGGUGGCGAAGGCGGUUCUCUGGGCCUUACCUGACGCUGAGGAGCGAAAGCGUGGGGAGCGAACAGG